AAAUUGAAGAGUUUGAUCAUGGCUCAGAUUGAACGCUGGCGGCAGGCCUAACACAUGCAAGUCGAACGGUAACAGGAAGCAGCUUGCUGCUUCGCUGACGAGUGGCGGACGGGUGAGUAAUGUCUGGGAAACUGCCUGAUGGAGGGGGAUAACUACUGGAAACGGUGGCUAAUACCGCAUAACGUCGCAAGACCAAAGAGGGGGACCUUCGGGCCUCUUGCCAUCAGAUGUGCCCAGAUGGGAUUAGCUUGUUGGUGAGGUAACGGCUCACCAAGGCGACGAUCCCUAGCUGGUCUGAGAGGAUGACCAGCCACACUGGAACUGAGACACGGUCCAGACUCCUACGGGAGGCAGCAGUGGGGAAUAUUGCACAAUGGGCGCAAGCCUGAUGCAGCCAUGCCGCGUGUAUGAAGAAGGCCUUCGGGUUGUAAAGUACUUUCAGCGGGGAGGAAGGUGUUGUGGUUAAUAACCGCAGCAAUUGACGUUACCCGCAGAAGAAGCACCGGCUAACUCCGUGCCAGCAGCCGCGGUAAUACGGAGGGUGCAAGCGUUAAUCGGAAUUACUGGGCGUAAAGCGCACGCAGGCGGUCUGUCAAGUCGGAUGUGAAAUCCCCGGGCUCAACCUGGGAACUGCAUUCGAAACUGGCAGGCUUGAGUCUUGUAGAGGGGGGUAGAAUUCCAGGUGUAGCGGUGAAAUGCGUAGAGAUCUGGAGGAAUACCGGUGGCGAAGGCGGCCCCCUGGACAAAGACUGACGCUCAGGUGCGAAAGCGUGGGGAGCAAACAGGAUUAGAUACCCUGGUAGUCCACGCCGUAAACGAUGUCUACUUGGAGGUUGUGCCCUUGAGGCGUGGCUUCCGGAGCUAACGCGUUAAGUAGACCGCCUGGGGAGUACGGCCGCAAGGUUAAAACUCAAAUGAAUUGACGGGGGCCCGCACAAGCGGUGGAGCAUGUGGUUUAAUUCGAUGCAACGCGAAGAACCUUACCUGGUCUUGACAUCCACGGAACUUUCCAGAGAUGGAUUGGUGCCUUCGGGAACCGUGAGACAGGUGCUGCAUGGCUGUCGUCAGCUCGUGUUGUGAAAUGUUGGGUUAAGUCCCGCAACGAGCGCAACCCUUAUCCUUUGUUGCCAGCGGUCCGGCCGGGAACUCAAAGGAGACUGCCAGUGAUAAACUGGAGGAAGGUGGGGAUGACGUCAAGUCAUCAUGGCCCUUACGACCAGGGCUACACACGUGCUACAAUGGCGCAUACAAAGAGAAGCGACCUCGCGAGAGCAAGCGGACCUCAUAAAGUGCGUCGUAGUCCGGAUUGGAGUCUGCAACUCGACUCCAUGAAGUCGGAAUCGCUAGUAAUCGUGGAUCAGAAUGCCACGGUGAAUACGUUCCCGGGCCUUGUACACACCGCCCGUCACACCAUGGGAGUGGGUUGCAAAAGAAGUAGGUAGCUUAACCUUCGGGAGGGCGCUUACCACUUUGUGAUUCAUGACUGGGGUGAAGUCGUAACAAGGUAACCGUAGGGGAACCUGCGGUUGGAUCACCUCCUUA
RNAcentral lists this ribosomal RNA (1542 nucleotides) under Salmonella enterica. Its description in RNAcentral is "bacterial SSU rRNA". It matches the Rfam family "Bacterial small subunit ribosomal RNA". RNAcentral also lists the same sequence under 2 other names. Lineage: Bacteria; Pseudomonadati; Pseudomonadota; Gammaproteobacteria; Enterobacterales; Enterobacteriaceae. The record is from RNAcentral.